This 849-nucleotide ribosomal RNA is filed under the name Lactococcus lactis. RNAcentral's name for it is "bacterial SSU rRNA". It matches the Rfam family "Bacterial small subunit ribosomal RNA", at positions 57 to 889 of the family's 1533-position model. Lineage: Bacteria; Bacillati; Bacillota; Bacilli; Lactobacillales; Streptococcaceae. The record is from RNAcentral.
GCAGUUGAGCGCUGAAGGUUGGUACUUGUACCAGACUGGAUGAGCAGCGAACGGGUGAGUAACGCGUGGGGAAUCUGCCUUUGAGCGGGGGACAACAUUUGGAAACGAAUGCUAAUACCGCAUAAAAACUUUAAACACAAGUUUUAAGUUUGAAAGAUGCAAUUGCAUCACUCAAAGAUGAUCCCGCGUUGUAUUAGCUAGUUGGUGAGGUAAAGGCUCACCAAGGCGAUGAUACAUAGCCGACCUGAGAGGGUGAUCGGCCACAUUGGGACUGAGACACGGCCCAAACUCCUACGGGAGGCAGCAGUAGGGAAUCUUCGGCAAUGGACGAAAGUCUGACCGAGCAACGCCGCGUGAGUGAAGAAGGUUUUCGGAUCGUAAAACUCUGUUGGUAGAGAAGAACGUUGGUGAGAGUGGAAAGCUCAUCAAGUGACGGUAACUACCCAGAAAGGGACGGCUAACUACGUGCCAGCAGCCGCGGUAAUACGUAGGUCCCGAGCGUUGUCCGGAUUUAUUGGGCGUAAAGCGAGCGCAGGUGGUUUAUUAAGUCUGGUGUAAAAGGCAGUGGCUCAACCAUUGUAUGCAUUGGAAACUGGUAGACUUGAGUGCAGGAGAGGAGAGUGGAAUUCCAUGUGUAGCGGUGAAAUGCGUAGAUAUAUGGAGGAACACCGGUGGCGAAAGCGGCUCUCUGGCCUGUAACUGACACUGAGGCUCGAAAGCGUGGGGAGCAAACAGGAUUAGAUACCCUGGUAGUCCACGCCGUAAACGAUGAGUGCUAGAUGUAGGGAGCUAUAAGUUCUCUGUAUCGCAGCUAACGCAAUAAGCACUCCGCCUGGGGAGUACGACCGC